UCGGGAAUUUUGGGCAAUGGGCGAAAGCCUGACCCAGCAACGCCGCGUGAGGGAUGAAGUAUUUCGGUAUGUAAACCUCGAAAGAAUGGGAAGAAUAAAUGACGGUACCAUUUAUAAGCUCCGGCUAACUACGUGCCAGCAGCCGCGGUAAUACGUAGGGAGCAAGCGUUGUUCGGAUUUACUGGGCGUAAAGGGCGCGUAGGCGGCGCGGUAAGUCACUUGUGAAAUCUCUGAGCUUAACUCAGAACGGCCAAGUGAUACUGCUGUGCUAGAGUGCGGAAGAGGCAACCGGAAUUCUUGGUGUAGCGGUGAAAUGUGUAGAUAUCAAGAGGAACACCAGAGGCGAAGGCGGGUUGCUGGGCCGACACUGACGCUGAUGCGCGAAAGCCAGGGGAGCAAACG
RNAcentral lists this ribosomal RNA (402 nucleotides) under uncultured bacterium. RNAcentral's name for it is "bacterial SSU rRNA". It matches the Rfam family "Bacterial small subunit ribosomal RNA", at positions 355 to 774 of the family's 1533-position model. The record is from RNAcentral.